AUACUUAUGUUGGCAGCACACAUACUAAUGUUGAAAUGAUAUAGAGAAGUUUAGCAUUUCUCCAACACAAGGACAACAUGCAAAUUGAUGAAGCUUUCUAUUUUUUA
RNAcentral lists this small nuclear RNA (107 nucleotides) under Sciurus vulgaris (Eurasian red squirrel). Lineage: Eukaryota; Metazoa; Chordata; Mammalia; Rodentia; Sciuridae. The record is from RNAcentral.